Coturnix japonica (Japanese quail) is the source of this 519-nucleotide non-coding RNA. NCBI's taxonomy places the organism in Eukaryota, Metazoa, Chordata, Aves, Galliformes, Phasianidae. The record is from RefSeq and is a predicted model, not a curated record.
CGGUACUGCCAGCCCUUCAUCACAUUGGUCCAUUUGCUCAGCGGGCCCUCCAUGAUAGACGCCAUCUUAAGCACCGAAACCGGCACCGCCGCGCGCACUGCCCGUGCGGUCUGCCACGACUGGUGUGCAUAAAAGCAUCCAGGGUGUGAGGUGAAAAUGGCACGCGUUGGCUUCAGGGUCACCUUAAGGGUAACGCUCAUGGGAACAGCACACAGCUUUCCUUCUGUCUGCUCCAGCGAUGUGGAAUGCAUUCCCCUGCAGCUGUGAACAAUGGUAAAUCUCCUGUUAAAGGCGUGUUCUUUGGCUCCACUUGAGCAUAAAUAUGUAAUUUCAGCUGUACUUCAGCACAACAUCUCUCUUGACAUAGAGCUACUCAUGCUCCUCCCUAGGGAUGGACCCAGUUGUUUCCCUGGUUGUGAAGAAGAAUCAGUCCAAGGCAGUCUCUGUGUCUGAUUCCAUUGUAUUUUUUUUUUUGUAUGUUGUUUUGUAUGUUUCUAAUACACCCUCCCAUUUCACACA